Molecule: ribosomal RNA, 484 nt
Filed under: uncultured bacterium
Lineage: Bacteria
Description: partial 16S ribosomal RNA
Rfam family: Bacterial small subunit ribosomal RNA
Source: RNAcentral
AUUGAACGCUGGCGGUAGGCCUAACACAUGCAAGUCGAGCGGAUGAAGGGAGCUUGCUCCUGGAUUCAGCGGCGGACGGGUGAGUAAUGCCUAGGAAUCUGCCUGGUAGUGGGGGAUAACGUCCGGAAACGGGCGCUAAUACCGCAUACGUCCUGAGGGAGAAAGUGGGGGAUCUUCGGACCUCACGCUAUCAGAUGAGCCUAGGUCGGAUUAGCUAGUUGGUGGGGUAAAGGUCUACCAAGGCGACGAUCCGUAACUGGUCUGAGAGGAUGAUCAGUCACACUGGAACUGAGACACGGUCCAGACUCCUACGGGAGGCAGCAGUGGGGAAUAUUGGACAAUGGGCGAAAGCCUGAUCCAGCCAUGCCGCGUGUGUGAAGAAGGUCUUCGGAUUGUAAAGCACUUUAAGUUGGGAGGAAGGGCAGUAAGUUAAUACCUUGCUGUUUUGACGUUACCAACAGAAUAAGCACCGGCUAACUUCGUG